UACGUAGGUGGCGAGCGUUAUCCGGAUUUACUGGGUGUAAAGGGAGCGCAGACGGAACUGCAAGUCUGAUGUGAAAGCCCGGGGGCUCAACCGCGGGACUGCAUUGGAAACUGUAGAUCUGGAGUGCCUGAGGGCAAGCGGAAUUCCUGGUGUAGCGGUGAAAUGCGUAGAUAUCAGGAGGAACACCGGCGGCGAAGGCGGCUUGCUGGGACGGCAACUGACGUUGAGGCUCGAAAGUGUGGGGAUCAAACAGGAUUAGAUA
This 262-nucleotide ribosomal RNA is filed under the name uncultured prokaryote. RNAcentral describes it as "partial 16S ribosomal RNA". It matches the Rfam family "Bacterial small subunit ribosomal RNA", at positions 524 to 784 of the family's 1533-position model. The record is from RNAcentral.